UACAUGCAAGUCGAACGAACUCUGGUAUUGAUUGGUGCUUGCAUCAUGAUUUACAUUUGAGUGAGUGGCGAACUGGUGAGUAACACGUGGGAAACCUGCCCAGAAGCGGGGGAUAACACCUGGAAACAGAUGCUAAUACCGCAUAACAACUUGGACCGCAUGGUCCGAGCUUGAAAGAUGGCUUCGGCUAUCACUUUUGGAUGGUCCCGCGGCGUAUUAGCUAGAUGGUGGGGUAACGGCUCACCAUGGCAAUGAUACGUAGCCGACCUGAGAGGGUAAUCGGCCACAUUGGGACUGAGACACGGCCCAAACUCCUACGGGAGGCAGCAGUAGGGAAUCUUCCACAAUGGACGAAAGUCUGAUGGAGCAACGCCGCGUGAGUGAAGAAGGGUUUCGGCUCGUAAAACUCUGUUGUUAAAGAAGAACAUAUCUGAGAGUAACUGUUCAGGUAUUGACGGUAUUUAACCAGAAAGCCACGGCUAACUACGUGCCAGCAGCCGCGGUAAUACGUAGGUGGCAAGCGUUGUCCGGAUUUAUUGGGCGUAAAGCGAGCGCAGGCGGUUUUUUAAGUCUGAUGUGAAAGCCUUCGGCUCAACCGAAGAAGUGCAUCGGAAACUGGGAAACUUGAGUGCAGAAGAGGACAGUGGAACUCCAUGUGUAGCGGUGAAAUGCGUAGAUAUAUGGAAGAACACCAGUGGC
RNAcentral lists this ribosomal RNA (699 nucleotides) under Lactiplantibacillus plantarum. Its description in RNAcentral is "bacterial SSU rRNA". It matches the Rfam family "Bacterial small subunit ribosomal RNA", at positions 52 to 716 of the family's 1533-position model. The record is from RNAcentral. Lineage: Bacteria; Bacillati; Bacillota; Bacilli; Lactobacillales; Lactobacillaceae.